ACGGGUGAGUAACGCGUGGGUAACCUGCCUUAUACAGGGGGAUAACACAGGGAAACUUGUGCUAAUACCGCAUAAAACUAUCGGGUGGCAUCAUCUGAUGGUCAAAGGAGUCAAAUCCGGUAUAAGAUGGACCCGCGUCCGAUUAGCUAGUUGGAGGUGUAACGGACCACCAAGGCGACGAUCGGUAGCCGAACUGAGAGGCUGAUCGGCCACAUUGGGACUGAGACACGGCCCAGACUCCUACGGGAGGCAGCAGUGGGGAAUAUUGCGCAAUGGGGGAAACCCUGACGCAGCAACGCCGCGUGAAGGAUGAAGGUUUUCGGAUUGUAAACUUCUUUAGUCGGGGACGAAUAAAUGACGGUACCCGAAGAAUAAGCCACGGCUAACUACGUGCCAGCAGCCGCGGUAAUACGUAGGUGGCAAGCGUUGUCCGGAAUUACUGGGUGUAAAGGGCGUGUAGGCGGGAAUGUAAGUCAGAUGUGAAAUUCCGGGGCUCAACCCCGGCGCUGCAUCUGAAACUAUAUUUCUUGAGUGCUGGAGAGGAAAGCGGAAUUCCUAGUGUAGCGGUGAAAUGCGU
RNAcentral lists this ribosomal RNA (577 nucleotides) under uncultured bacterium. RNAcentral describes it as "bacterial SSU rRNA". It matches the Rfam family "Bacterial small subunit ribosomal RNA", at positions 102 to 691 of the family's 1533-position model. The record is from RNAcentral.